This 1437-nucleotide ribosomal RNA is filed under the name uncultured organism. Its description in RNAcentral is "16S ribosomal RNA". It matches the Rfam family "Bacterial small subunit ribosomal RNA". The record is from RNAcentral.
CAGGCUUAACACAUGCAAGUCGAGGGGCAGCAUGGUCUUAGCUUGCUAAGGCCGAUGGCGACCGGCGCACGGGUGAGUAACACGUAUCCAACCUGCCGUCUACUCUUGGACAGCCUUCUGAAAGGAAGAUUAAUACAAGAUGGCAUCAUGAGUCCGCAUGUUCACAUGAUUAAAGGUAUUCCGGUAGACGAUGGGGAUGCGUUCCAUUAGAUAGUAGGCGGGGUAACGGCCCACCUAGUCUUCGAUGGAUAGGGGUUCUGAGAGGAAGGUCCCCCACAUUGGAACUGAGACACGGUCCAAACUCCUACGGGAGGCAGCAGUGAGGAAUAUUGGUCAAUGGGCGAGAGCCUGAACCAGCCAAGUAGCGUGAAGGAUGACUGCCCUAUGGGUUGUAAACUUCUUUUAUAAAGGAAUAAAGUCGGGUAUGGAUACCCGUUUGCAUGUACUUUAUGAAUAAGGAUCGGCUAACUCCGUGCCAGCAGCCGCGGUAAUACGGAGGAUCCGAGCGUUAUCCGGAUUUAUUGGGUUUAAAGGGAGCGUAGAUGGAUGUUUAAGUCAGUUGUGAAAGUUUGCGGCUCAACCGUAAAAUUGCAGUUGAUACUGGAUAUCUUGAGUGCAGUUGAGGCAGGCGGAAUUCGUGGUGUAGCGGUGAAAUGCUUAGAUAUCACGAAGAACUCCGAUUGCGAAGGCAGCCUGCUAAGCUGCAACUGGCAUUGAGGCUCGAAAGUGUGGGUAUCAAACAGGAUUAGAUACCCUGGUAGUCCACACGGUAAACGAUGAAUACUCGCUGUUUGCGAUAUACUGCAAGCGGCCAAGCGAAAGCGUUAAGUAUUCCACCUGGGGAGUACGCCGGCAACGGUGAAACUCAAAGGAAUUGACGGGGGCCCGCACAAGCGGAGGAACAUGUGGUUUAAUUCGAUGAUACGCGAGGAACCUUACCCGGGCUUAAAUUGCAGAUGAAUUACGGUGAAAGCCGUAAGCCGCAAGGCAUCUGUGAAGGUGCUGCAUGGUUGUCGUCAGCUCGUGCCGUGAGGUGUCGGCUUAAGUGCCAUAACGAGCGCAACCCUUGUUGUCAGUUACUAACAGGUUCCGCUGAGGACUCUGACAAGACUGCCAUCGUAAGAUGUGAGGAAGGUGGGGAUGACGUCAAAUCAGCACGGCCCUUACGUCCGGGGCUACACACGUGUUACAAUGGGGGGUACAGAGGGCCGCUACCACGCGAGUGGAUGCCAAUCCCCAAAACCUCUCUCAGUUCGGACUGGAGUCUGCAACCCGACUCCACGAAGCUGGAUUCGCUAGUAAUCGCGCAUCAGCCACGGCGCGGUGAAUACGUUCCCGGGCCUUGUACACACCGCCCGUCAAGCCAUGGGAGCCGGGGGUACCUGAAGUGCGUAACCGCGAGGAGCGCCCUAGGGUAAAACUGGUGACUGGGGCUAA